Molecule: long non-coding RNA, 2033 nt
Filed under: Zonotrichia albicollis (white-throated sparrow)
Lineage: Eukaryota; Metazoa; Chordata; Aves; Passeriformes; Passerellidae
Description: lncRNA (ENSZALG00000015721.1)
Source: RNAcentral
CGGGGUCCUGGAGGCUCGAGGGGCGCAGAGGAAGAAGGAGGAGCUGGAGGAAGCGAAGGGAAGGGGAGGGGAGCGCAGGGAAGAGGAUUUUCCCAUCUCCUGGUGUUUUUUUUUUUUUUUUUUUUUUUUUUUGGAGGAGGAAGGUUGCUGCUGCUAGUGGCAGCGUUUCCUCCUGCUGGAAGAUGAUAAAUACAUGAGGAGAGAGGCUCUGAGCCUGCUUCUGUGCUGCGGGAGUGUCUCUCUCCCUCCCUCCCCUCUCCCUGCUUCUGUGUGAGUGUGUGUUUGGCUGCCGGGCUGUGUGUGCGUGUACACUGUGUAUAUAUAUCUGAGCUGGGAGGUUAUUGCAAGCUUCUCUCAGCAGCGCUCCUCUGUACAGGAAGACGGGCUCAGCUGCAGUGGUAGCAUCAACAGCAGCAUUAGCGGCACCAACUGCUUUAUUCGCCUUUCUUCCUUCCCUUCAUCUCCAUCUCCCUUUCCCCUCCCUCCUCCCACGUUUUUAGGGGAUUGAUCUUCAUUUUUUUUUUAUUAUUAUUUAUUUUUCUACUCUACAAUCCUUGUUAUUUGAUACUUCGUGGCUUUUUUUUUUUUUUCUUCUUUUUUUCCUUUCCCCCUUUCUCUGAGAAGGAGGCACAGAAAUAAACACGCACAAACACAGAGAAAUAAGGGAAAGAAAAGUACCGGGACUUAUCCUGCUGCUGCAAACCCAAAGAUAGCAGACGAAGAGGGGGUUUGGCUUCUACCCCAAGGUAAAGCCCUGCCCCCUUUACCUCCUCGACACCUCCUCCGAGGAAGAGAAGGAGAGAGAGAGAAGGGGGCCAAAGUGGAGAAAAGCAGGUCUUCUGCGGCUGGCAUUUGGAGUACAGGGAGCCAGGAAGUGAAGGAUGGUUGUGGUUACCCGAGCUGGCUGCAGGGCAGCUCUCUUCCUCUGGAUUUUCAUCAGCAUUAGCUGCAGAGCCAGGACUGCUCUGCCUGCAUCUCGUACUUUUAACACAGGAGACUACUUCAGUUGCUUCAGUUGUGAUAGGAAAUUCUGUAUAUAUAAUGCAUCAGACCUCAAACUGUACCUCUUCUUGAAUAAAUCGUAUUACAAUGGAUCUGUUACAGACAGUAAAUUUUCCUAUAGAAGUUAUCCAGGACUUUUACCUUGGAUCUCUAUGUCUUUAAAACUGUCAGAUAUCAUGUUUACUGUUUAGGAGUUUUUAAGACUGUAGUACUUUUAAUGUCUGGAACAAUAACUAACUAUGCACAAACCAUGGGGGAGUUUCUGCAUUUCCUUUUUUCAAAAGCUGAUCUCACUCUUCAUGAUCUGACUCACAGGUCAAAAUAAGAUAACUGGUUAAAUUUUGAGGUUUUCCCCUACCCAUGCCUAUGUCCUGAAUAGCUGUCAUGCUCAUCUUACAAAAGAACAUGGACUUGCAAAUGGGAUCCAGUCACGUAGGAAACUUCAACUAGGAAAUGUUAGAGAAGCAACAGGAGUCUUCUUCAUCAGAUGAGAUGAUGAGUGACUUUGCGAUUUCUUUAGUCUUAACAAUUUUAAGUAAUUUAAAAUUAUAGCAUUAUUUCCAAAAUACACAUAGAGAUGAGAUCCUUCUUUAAAAGAUCAGGAAGACUGGUAGGAUAAAGAGAGUAGUCCACUAGUUUGAGCCUUCUUGCACUGAAGGAAAUGGAAGUCGUGCCACAGAUUAUAGGAACAGUGUGGUUAUGUUUUCUGUCAUGAGUUCAUGAUUCAGUCCAUUGGUAUGAAAUAACAGAAAUUAUUAAAAAGGUUCCUCAGACUUCAGCCUUUGAAUGAACAUUGAUUUAUCUGUAUUUAUUUAUCUGUAUAAUGAACUUCAUUUAUCCAGCAACUUCAUUGGCAUUGCAUAAGUAGAUAAUCCAAGACCACCAGGUAAUUGCAGAACAUGUUAAAUCUCUAAGUUUGGUGAAGUAGAAAAUUGCAGUAAUCAGUAAUCAAUUAUUUUGAGCCACUUGCAUUUCCAACUUUGAAGACAUUAUAGAUAUAAUAAAAGAAUUCCCAAGUCCUGUGCUUAACA